Molecule: ribosomal RNA, 450 nt
Filed under: uncultured bacterium
Lineage: Bacteria
Description: partial 16S ribosomal RNA
Rfam family: Bacterial small subunit ribosomal RNA
Source: RNAcentral
GUGGGGAAUAUUGGACAAUGGGCGAAAGCCUGAUCCAGCCAUGCCGCGUGUGUGAAGAAGGUCUUCGGAUUGUAAAGCACUUUAAGUUGGGAGGAAGGGUAGUAACCUAAUACGUUGCUACUUUGACGUUACCGACAGAAUAAGCACCGGCUAACUUCGUGCCAGCAGCCGCGGUAAUACGAAGGGUGCAAGCGUUAAUCGGAAUUACUGGGCGUAAAGCGCGCGUAGGUGGUUCAGUAAGUUGGAAGUGAAAUCCCCGGGCUCAACCUGGGAACUGCUUUCAAAACUGCUGAGCUAGAGUACGGUAGAGGGUGGUGGAAUUUCCUAGGUAGCGGUGAAAUGCGUAGAUAUAGGAAGGAACACCAGUGGCGAAGGCGACCACCUGGACUGAUACUGACACUGAGGUGCGAAAGCGUGGGGAGCAAACAGGAUUAGAUACCCCAGUAGUCC